GAAACCUAAUUUCAUGAGAUAGCUCUUUAAAAUAAAGAGCAUCUAACUCUUAAAGAAUCUUGAGGAUGAUCCAUCUAUACAAAACAUGAACUCAGAUCUGCCAACAUUAUCCAAUCCAUAAAACAUGAAUUCAGAUGUGCCUACAUACUCCACUCUACACCUCUCAUCAAAACAAUGAACAAUUUAUAGAAAAUGCAUCGCUAAAAUUUAAUAUUCACACUGACCUCUAUCGUAUGGAUGUGUGCAAAAUCAAAGUACAAGAAGAGAGAAAAUUUUGAGCACAGAAAAGCAACAAUUAUAUGAAAAGGGAUAAGUUUACAACACUGCAACUCUUUCCCGGAUGAGCUAUAGAAGGUUCACUGAGUUCAACUUCAGUUUUCUUUUAUGUUUUCUUCAAAAUCAAAUGUAUUUGAAGAAAUAGUUAUAGCAUAUGCAUAACAAUUUCUGGAUUUGGAACAAUCAGAAUACGGUCCAACCAUAAUUCAGUUUAAAUUAAGUACCUUCCCACAUGUAAGUUUUGUGGCUUAAAUGAAAGGUAAAGAAAAAACUAUUGUGGUUUUGCCCCAUUAAUAGUUGGAGCAGCACCUCUAGCUGCCUUGACAUAGGCAACAUACUCACUGAAGUGCAUGGUAAAUAAAAAGCAACAAUUAUAUGAAAAGGAAUAAGUUUACAACACUGCAACUCUUUCCCAGAUGAGUUGUAGAAGGUUCACUGAGUUCAACUUCAGUUUUCUUUUAUGUUUUCUUCAAAAUCGAAUGAAUUUGAAGAAAUAGUUAUAGCAUAUGCAUAACAAUUUCUGGAUUUGGAACAAUCAGAAUACGGUCCAACCAUAAUUCAGUUUAAAUUAAGUACCUU
This 855-nucleotide long non-coding RNA is filed under the name Olea europaea (common olive). RNAcentral describes it as "long non-coding RNA (OEUR_LNC011179)". Lineage: Eukaryota; Viridiplantae; Streptophyta; Magnoliopsida; Lamiales; Oleaceae. The record is from RNAcentral.